GAUGAACGCUGGCGGUAUGCCUAACACAUGCAAGUCGUACGAGAGUUUCUAACUCUAGUGGCGGACGGGUGAGUAACACGUGAGAAUUUGCCUUUAGGAGGGGGAUAACAAUUGGAAACGAAUGCUAAUACCCCAUAUGCUUUUGAGUGAAACGGAUUUAUCCGCCUAGAGAGAAGCUCGCGGCUGAUUAGCUUGUUGGUAAGGUAAGAGCUUACCAAGGCGACGAUCAGUAUCUGGUUUGAGAGGACGAUCAGACACACUGGAACUGAGACACGGUCCAGACUCCUACGGGAGGCAGCAGUGGGGAAUUUUCCGCAAUGGGCGAAAGCCUGACGGAGCAAUACCGCGUGAGGGAAGACUGCCUAUGGGUUGUAAACCUCUUUUUUCAGGGAGGAAUAAAAUGACGUGUACCUGAAGAAUAAGCAUCAGCUAACUCCGUG
This 440-nucleotide ribosomal RNA is filed under the name uncultured bacterium. RNAcentral describes it as "bacterial SSU rRNA". It matches the Rfam family "Bacterial small subunit ribosomal RNA", at positions 28 to 507 of the family's 1533-position model. The record is from RNAcentral.